RNAcentral lists this long non-coding RNA (232 nucleotides) under Coffea arabica (coffee). RNAcentral describes it as "long non-coding RNA (CARA_LNC004725)". The record is from RNAcentral. Lineage: Eukaryota; Viridiplantae; Streptophyta; Magnoliopsida; Gentianales; Rubiaceae.
GGUUUUCUUGGUAUUUGAACAUAUAUUGCUUUUGAUUGAAUUGAGUUGAAGGGAAUUAUUGACGGGUCCAUUAGGAUUUGUGAAAAUUUGGUUUUCUUGCUUGAAAAUUAUUGACGGUUCUGAAGCACCAGCACUUUGUCUUAGGAUUUGUGCUCUCAGAAUCAUUAACGGGUCCAUUAGGUACACUCUUUUUUGCCUUCUCCAUAGGAAGCUCUGAUAAUCGAGACUCUGC